UGGGUGAACUAUAUCUUUCAAUUAUGUGUGUAUAUUUGUGCCACAGGCUUUGGGCCCAUAUUUGAGGAGGAGCCCUUGGACACAGUGUAUGCGGAGGAUUCACCAGAGAACAAAAUCUCCAUGAACUGCAGAGCACAGGCCUACCCUCCGGCCAUUAUCAAGUGGUGGUUAAACAACUGGGAAAUUAAACUGAUGGAGCAACCUGAUGAGCACUUUAGCCUGGUGGGAGGAAACCUGGUCAUCACCAACCCAGACAAGAGCAAGCAUGCUGGGAAAUAUGUGUGUGUGGCUAAGAACGUGUACGGCACUGUCAUCAGCAAAGAGGCCACUGUCAAAUUUGGAUACCUAAACCAGUUCCCUACAGAUGAGAGAGAGCCGGUGCAUGUUAAGGAGGGACAAGGAGCAGUGCUGCUGUGUUCUCCUCCCUCUCGCUAUCCAAGUGAGGUGAUGUUCCGCUGGAUCUACAAUGACUUCCCAAACUUCAUCAUACCAGACCAGAGGCGUUUCGUGUCACAGACCACUGGCAAUAUGUACAUCGCUAAAGUCGAGGCAUCUGAUGUUGGGAAUUAUUCUUGUUUCGUGUCAAGCCCCACCAUCGGCAAGAGUGUUUUCAGCAUGCCGAUUUCUCUGAUUCCACAAAUAGAGAGUGAGCAGGAGGUGAAGCGGUAUCCUGCUGAUAUCCGUGUGAAAUUUCCCAAGACUUAUGCUUUGGUGCAUCAGAACAUCACUCUGGAGUGCUUUGCCCUUGGAAAUCCGCUCCCACACAUCCGCUGGAGGAAGUUAGACGCUGAUCUCCCGCCCAACUAUGAGGUCAGCAUGAAUGGAGCUUUACUGCACCUGAUUAACGUUCAGUACGAGGAUGAAGGGAGCUACGAGUGUGAGACGCUCAACGUUAAAGGGAUGGACUGGUAUCGACAGUGGCUCUAUGUGGAAGGUAAAACAAGCUCUAACAACAAAAAUGUUGGUAGCGAACUCACUCUCAGGUGUGUUGCCGUGGGGAAGCCUUUACCAUGGAUACGCUGGCUGAAGGAUGGCUAUUCGUAUGGCAAAGGGGAGCUGAAGUUCUCCAGUCUCACGUUUGAGGAUUCGGGCAUGUAUCAGUGUAUUGCUGAGAAUGAAUGGGGGACCAUCUAUGCUAGCGCGGAGCUUCGGGUUGUCUCCUGUGCACCAACAUUCAUUUAUAAUCCAGUGAAGAAGGUUCUGCUCGGGGCUGAAAACGGUCGUGUGGUUAUAGAGUGCAAACCCAGCGCUGCUCCUAAACCCAAGUUCAUCUGGAAACGAGGCUCAGAGCUGCUGACCAACUCUUCAAGGAUGUUAAUUUGGGAUGAUGGAAGUCUGGAGAUUCUGAACGUGUCAAAAAGUGACGAGGGCUCGUACACAUGCUAUGCUGAGAAUGACCGCGGCAAAUCCAACAGCACAGGGACCCUCACUAUCACCGAGGCCACCAAAAUCACAGAGGCUCCAUCAGACACUGAGGCAGUUGUAGGUGACACUACAAUUCUCCAGUGUUCUGCAUCAUUUGAUCCCAGCCUGGACAUCACCUUUAUCUGGACUGUUGAUUCCUACGUCAUCAACUUCUACACAGACUUUGAACACUACGAACAAGCAGUUUCACUGUUUGUGUGUGUGUUUUUGCAGGGUGACGAGAACAGCGGAGACCUGCUGAUCAAGAACAUCCAGGUGAGGCACGCAGGACACUAUUCCUGCACAGCUCAGACCAUAGUGGACAAUGCCACCGCAGAAGCUGAUGUUUUUGUCAAAGGUCUGCCUGGUCCUCCAGGUGGUGUCCGUGUGGAAGAGAUUGGAGACACGUCAGUAAAACUACGAUGGAGUCUGGGAUCAGACCACGGUAGUCCUUUUAUCCAACAGAGAACAAAUAUUGUUUUCCCAGCUCCUGUGUUUUUGGACGGAUCUACAGAGUCAGCCACCAUAGUUGACCUUUACCCCUGGAUGCAAUAUGAAUUCCGUGUGCAUGCAAUCAAUGAAUUUGGAGCUGGGGAAAACAGCCGUCCGUCCAUCAAAAUCAAGACAUGGGACGCCAGGCCUACAGUAGCUCCUUCUGAUGUACUGGGGCAAGUUGGAAUAAGCGGAGAGCUUAUCGUGACCUGGACUCCUGUAAAGCCUCAGUUCUUCUUUGGUAAAAAAUUUGGCUACGUCGUGGCGUUUAAGCAGCAUGAGGAUUCUGAAUGGAAGUGGACGACUGUGGAGGAUCCCGAGACUAGACGCUACGUCUACAAAGAUAGCAUGACCCCAGACACUGAGAUACAGGUCAAAGUGAAAACCUACAAUAACAAAGGAGAAGGACCCUCAAGUCUUAUAUCAGUGGUCGACUCACCAAGGCUAGCACCCACUGAAGCUCCAUUAGAUGUCUACGCCCGCCAGGUCACCGCUACAGAAGCUUUGGUCUGGUGGUUACCGAUCUACCAGGCACCGCCAAACUGGGUCGAUGGAUACCAGAUUCGUUACUGGAGGAAGUACGAUGAUAAUGAAGCUGCUGCCUCUCGAGUUCUUGUGCAUAGAGCAAUUAACCAAACUCGCCUGGAGAACAUGCGGCCUGACUCCCACUACCUCAUAGAGGUACGAGCGUUCAACGGAGCUGGGCUCGGGCCACCCAGCGAGCAUUGUGAAAUGUUCACCAGGAGACCACCCCCAAGUCGCCAUUUGAGAGUCUACAAAUAUGUCAGCUUUAAUCGCAAAUGGCUCUAUCUAUAUUGGGAUCACAUCUAUAACUACUGGAAUGAGUCAUAUGUGGAGGGAUACAAGAUUUUGUUCAGGAAGGAAGGAGAGCGUUAUGGGAAGCUUUACACCACAGGCAGACACUACAUUGACUUUCCCAUGCCAGAGACAGGUGAUUACAUCAUAGAGGUCCGAGCCCGCUGCGAGGGAGGUGAUGGACCCAUAUCACAGAUCAGAGUGCAAGGUGAAUACUGUCUUUUACAUAUCAGUAAGGAUUUCAUUUUUUAUCAACCUCAUUCAUCAUGUUCCUACCCUAAUCAUGUUCUAAUAAUUACAAAAUGAUAUCUGAAGUUCUGCAUAGUUUAAAGUAUAUAUUCACUACAAGAACUGAAAUAAGUUUCACAUAGUCAUAGAUGCAUAGAUGCAGUUACACAAUUGUAACCUUUAUUCAUACUGAUCUUUCUUACCAUUGUUUUGUAUUAUGUUCAGGGAAAGCCGCUUUGGGUGCUGAAUCUCUCAGCGUCGCCUCUGUCUUGCUGCUGGCACUGGGAUGGAUGAAUUUAGGCCUGUAGGCAUAAACAGCUGUCAACACUUUUGGCGAAAUUCACUUCUAAGAAACAAUCUUUAUAUAUUUUGAGUGCAUUUCCUUAAAGCGGUGGUUUUCGUGGUGUAGAUGAAGUUUGUUUGGGAGUGUAGAAUAUAAAGAAUUUAUACCCUCUUGGUUUGCCUUACAAACUACAGUACCCGCAAUCAACUAAUGAAACGUAUUGUAAAAUAAAUGUGGUGGCAGGGUAUGGUGAACUUUUUUG
Molecule: long non-coding RNA, 3485 nt
Organism: Cyprinus carpio carpio
Lineage: Eukaryota; Metazoa; Chordata; Actinopteri; Cypriniformes; Cyprinidae
Source: Ensembl